UACGAAGGGUGCAAGCGUUAAUCGGAAUUACUGGGCGUAAAGCGUGCGUAGGCGGUUUGUUAAGUCUGUUGUGAAAGCCCUGGGCUCAACCUGGGAAUGGCAAUGGAAACUGGCGAGCUAGAGUCAGGUAGAGGGUGGUGGAAUUCCCGGUGUAGCGGUGAAAUGCGUAGAGAUCGGGAGGAACAUCUGUGGCGAAGGCGGCCACCUGGACCAUGACUGACGCUGAGGCACGAAAGCGUGGGGAGCAAACAGG
This 253-nucleotide ribosomal RNA is filed under the name uncultured bacterium. RNAcentral describes it as "partial 16S ribosomal RNA". It matches the Rfam family "Bacterial small subunit ribosomal RNA", at positions 524 to 776 of the family's 1533-position model. The record is from RNAcentral.